CCUACGGGGGCUGCAGUGGGGAAUAUUGGACAAUGGGCGAAAGCCUGAUCCAGCCAUGCCGCGUGUGUGAAGAAGGCCUUCGGGUUGUAAAGCACUUUCAGUGGGGAAGAAAGCCUUGGGGCUAAUACCCUCGAGGAAGGACAUCACCCACAGAAGAAGCACCGGCUAACUCCGUGCCAGCAGCCGCGGUAAUACGGAGGGUGCGAGCGUUAAUCGGAAUUACUGGGCGUAAAGCGCGCGUAGGCGGUCUGAUAAGCCGGUUGUGAAAGCCCCGGGCUCAACCUGGGAACGGCAUCCGGAACUGUCAGGCUAGAGUGCAGGAGAGGAAGGUAGAAUUCCCGGUGUAGCGGUGAAAUGCGUAGAGAUCGGGAGGAAUACCAGUGGUGAAGGCGGCCUUCUGGACUGACACUGACGCUGAGGUGCGAAAGCGUGGGUAGCAAACAGGAUUAGAUACCCGUGUAGUC
Molecule: ribosomal RNA, 464 nt
Filed under: Vreelandella stevensii
Lineage: Bacteria; Pseudomonadati; Pseudomonadota; Gammaproteobacteria; Oceanospirillales; Halomonadaceae
Description: partial 16S ribosomal RNA
Rfam family: Bacterial small subunit ribosomal RNA
Source: RNAcentral